RNAcentral lists this ribosomal RNA (302 nucleotides) under uncultured bacterium. Its description in RNAcentral is "partial 16S ribosomal RNA". It matches the Rfam family "Bacterial small subunit ribosomal RNA", at positions 508 to 807 of the family's 1533-position model. The record is from RNAcentral.
GCAGUAGCCGCGGGAAUACGAAGGGGGCUAGCGUUAAUCGGAAUUACUGGGCGUAAAGCGUGCGCAGGCGGUUCGUUAAGACAGAUGUGAAAUCCCCGGGCUUAACCUGGGAACUGCAUUUGUGACUGGCGAGCUAGAGUAUGGCAGAGGGGGGUAGAAUUCCACGUGUAGCAGUGAAAUGCGUAGAGAUGUGGAGGAAUACCGAUGGCGAAGGCAGCCCCCUGGGCCAAUACUGACGCUUAUGCACGAAAGCGUGGGGAGCAAACAGGAUUAGAUACCCCCGUAGUCCCUGUCUCUUAUAC